Molecule: long non-coding RNA, 2705 nt
Organism: Vespula vulgaris
Lineage: Eukaryota; Metazoa; Arthropoda; Insecta; Hymenoptera; Vespidae
Exons: 8
Source: RefSeq, a predicted model, not a curated record
AUAUCGUGCACGACAUAAGUUAUAAAUAUCGUAGGAAGAUUCUCCAUGAGAUUGAUUACCAUUUCGUUUAAAUACGAUAUUUUGAAUUCUACUUUUUUGUUAAUGUCGACAUUUUGUCCCAAAAAGUGAAUAAAUAUGAAUUAGUCAAUAUAAACAAAAAUUUCCUCUCGGAACGAAGGUAAACACAAUUCGAUUUUGACACAGUGAAACGAUCGAAAAGAUAUGAAUAUGGAGAAUGAAGAACAGUGGUAUCAAAGGAGGAAAAGGGAUCAAAAGGAGGAAAGAAAGAUAAAGGCGAGAAGAAAUUUCCCUUUUACGGUAAUAUUGAUCCAAAGUUAUUGUCAACAUUGUGAAGAGAUAAUCGGGGGUGCCACCGUCGUGAAUAUAUGUGAGAGGGAGUGGGACCAAACAGCGCAUGCUCGACUUACUAUACGAGGGGUUACGAGCCAUCCGCGGAAAUAAUAUGAACCGUUCAUUCUGUUUCGAGUCGCCCGGCAAGCACGUUCUCGUGAGCUUUGAAGAUGGACGGACCGGAGUAAUAUAAAAGCGCCUCUCCAGUCCGAAUAAUGGAAACCAUCUGUAGCAUUUUAAGCAACACGCUAUCGGAUAUAGUUUUCGAUGCGGCGUCACCACAUACUUUGCGAACAGUCGAUAUUCCUUAUAUAAACGUCAAGAAGAGUGGACCGCAUAAUUCAAGGAAUCAUUAAAGAGGAAUAUUAAAGGCUACCACGAGCAUUUAUUCCUGGCAAUAUCCUGCGGUUGCGACAGAGCUUCGAUGUUUACUCGUCGGAGUAGAAAGGAUGACUGAUCCGGUGUCCCGUGGGGCGUUUAACGGAAUGUUACUAAAACAGUGGUUUAUUUAACUUCUCGUCCAUCUAUUUUGUUCAAAUGGAUUUAAAAUUACCGAAAGUAUUAAGUUUGAAGUUCUCCGCUGUGGAAAGUGAAGAUAACCGUUAAAUUCAUUCAAAGAGGGCCUACUCUUUGACGCCAUGAUAAGCAACCAUAGCAACGAGCGGGGGAUGAAUAUCGUCUGGCUGAGGACGGCGAAAAAGCUUUACGUCAUUCCUUCGGUGGGUGUCGAACUAGCAAUACGUGAGCAAGUGACGUACAAUAAAUAUUCCCAAUGUCUAUAAAUCAUACGUUCCUAAGGGUAGUUUAACAAGCGGUUCAGGCGGUGGAAACAAUUUCUUCGUUCUCACUAGUCUUCUGUUUAUGUUAUCAAUAUAAGAGGUGCAGUUGCAAUAGUCUUGCAGUAUUGCAAAGGAGUCCAAUUGACUUACAUUUGAGUUUAAUUCCAAAGAAGAUACACGAAUUUCAACUACGCUCAUCGUGGUAAAGAAAUAUUCGACAUCCAAAGUGCAACAUAUUUAUGUCGGUACUUCCUGUUCUUCCGACCAUAAAUUCUACAUGGAUAGUACAAAGGCUGUGUUUGCCGAAAGAUUUUAUGAAGUAGUUCCAUUAAAGUAUUUCCAUUUAUAAGUGAAUUCAAUUCAAAUCUUCCACGCCGUAUGAAACACAAAUUCGCGAGAGAAGCACCUAAUUCUGCGGUGUAUGCAAACAACGUGGCACCAUUAUUUGCGCAUUACUACAGUAACCAUCGAUUUUAAUACCGGAUUUUUAUAAACGAGCGCAUUGGACUGCGAGGUCGGAAGAGUCGUUCAAGAAGCAAUCCGAAAAUCUAACCAAAAAAAGGAGACUUAGCUAUUCCUCUUAGAUUAAGUACUCUUAAAUCUUCUUAUAUUGAUGUAUUGCAACAUGAUGGUAAUAUAGAGGUAGAUUUGAUACUGAAUAAUCACUUUUUUACAUGUUUGAUUGAUAUCUUCAUUUUUGGAAAAUAGAUUGGACUACAAUUUUUAUACACAAGUGUUAUAAUCAAGAUAUCCGUAAAUUCGGCUCCUGUGUAAUUAUUAUCAGUUGUAGGAAUUGCUUUCGCCUUCUAUUUUCUUUCGUAUAUAUUUAAAACAAGUAAAAAUUCGUAGAUUAGUUAAGACUUAUCAAUGCUAUUCGUUCAUUUUAAUUGUAUAAAAUUGUACGGAAGAUAAGUCAGAUGAUGCCAUUUAAGUGCUACAGUAACUUCUAUUGCUACAACAAAAUAAUAAUUAUAAUGAUAUGAAUCAAGAGAAUCAGUUUCAUUGCUAUAAUUUAGAAAUGUAACGUUGUAAUAAUUCUGAUGCAAACGGCAACUACUAAAUUUAAAGAUUAUUGAUGGCGUAAGAGUAUGACGAGUGAGAAUGAUGAAAUUGUUUCUGCCGUUUCAAUUGCUUGUAAAGGUGUUCUUUCGGAUGUAUGACUUAUAUACACAUCGGGCAUAUUUCACGUAUGGCACUCACUCGUGUAUUACUAGUUCGAAAACCACCGAAGGAAUGACUUUCCCCGGCGAAAUUAAUUAACUAAUAAACCGUUGUCACGUUAUAAGACCAUGCUUCCUACCUUGUUCAUAAAAAAUUCCCCUCUCCAGUUUUCAUUUCCUCUACGUAAAUGAGAAAUUAUCUCAUAAAUCUUGGAAUCUUGUAAUGCAAUCGACAAUUAUUCGUUUCAUUCUUAAUCGAAAUUAUCAUGUAAAAUUGUAUUUUUUUUAAUUAAAAUUAUAUAAAUAAUUAUGUAUUUAUUAUAAAAUUAUGUAUUAAUUAUAGUUACAUAAGUUCAAAUUUUUUAAUUAUGCUUUUAAUUGUAUUAUUUAUAAUAUAAUUAAUUAUUAUGAAUAA